Molecule: ribosomal RNA, 490 nt
Filed under: uncultured bacterium
Lineage: Bacteria
Description: partial 16S ribosomal RNA
Rfam family: Bacterial small subunit ribosomal RNA
Source: RNAcentral
AUUGAACGCUGGCGGCAGGCCUAACACAUGCAAGUCGAACGGUAACAGGAAGAAGCUUGCUUCUUUGCUGACGAGUGGCGGACGGGUGAGUAAUGUCUGGGAAACUGCCUGAUGGAGGGGGAUAACUACUGGAAACGGUAGCUAAUACCGCAUAAUGUCGCAAGACCAAAGAGGGGGACCUUCGGGCCUCUUGCCAUCGGAUGUGCCCAGAUGGGAUUAGCUAGUAGGUGGGGUAACGGCUCACCUAGGCGACGAUCCCUAGUUGGUCUGAGAGGAUGACCAGCCACACUGGAACUGAGACACGGUCCAGACUCCUACGGGAGGCAGCAGUGGGGAAUAUUGCACAAUGGGCGCAAGCCUGAUGCAGCUAUGCCGCGUGUAUGAAGAAGGCCUUCGGGUUGUAAAGUACUUUCAGCGGGGAGGAAGGGAGUAAAGUUAAUACCUUUGCUCAUUGACGUUACCCGCAGAAGAAGCACCGGCUAACUCCGUG